GAUGAACGCUGGCGGCGUGCCUAAUACAUGCAAGUCGAGCGAACGGACGAGAAGCUUGCUUCUCUGAUGUUAGCGGCGGACGGGUGAGUAACACGUGGAUAACCUACCUAUAAGACUGGGAUAACUUCGGGAAACCGGAGCUAAUACCGGAUAAUAUUUUGAACCGCAUGGUUCAAAAGUGAAAGACGGUCUUGCUGUCACUUAUAGAUGGAUCCGCGCAGCAUUAGCUAGUUGGUAAGGUAACGGCUUACCAAGGCAACGAUGCAUAGCCGACCUGAGAGGGUGAUCGGCCACACUGGAACUGAGACACGGUCCAGGCUCCUACGGGAGGCAGCAGUAGGGAAUCUUCCGCAAUGGGCGAAAGCCUGACGGAGCAACGCCGCGUGAGUGAUGAAGGUCUUCGGAUCGUAAAACUCUGUUAUUAGGGAAGAACAUAUGUGUAAGUAACUGUGCACAUCUUGACGGUACCUAAUCAGAAAGCCACGGCUAACUACGUG
Molecule: ribosomal RNA, 497 nt
Filed under: uncultured bacterium
Lineage: Bacteria
Description: partial 16S ribosomal RNA
Rfam family: Bacterial small subunit ribosomal RNA
Source: RNAcentral